RNAcentral lists this ribosomal RNA (468 nucleotides) under uncultured bacterium. RNAcentral's name for it is "partial 16S ribosomal RNA". It matches the Rfam family "Bacterial small subunit ribosomal RNA", at positions 28 to 507 of the family's 1533-position model. The record is from RNAcentral.
GACGAACGCUGGCGGCGUGCUUAACACAUGCAAGUCGAACGGAAAGGCCCUGCUUUUGUGGGGUGCUCGAGUGGCGAACGGGUGAGUAACACGUGAGUAACCUGCCCUUGACUUUGGGAUAACUUCAGGAAACUGGGGCUAAUACCGGAUAGGAGCUCCUGCUGCAUGGUGGGGGUUGGAAAGUUUCGGCGGUUGGGGAUGGACUCGCGGCUUAUCAGCUUGUUGGUGGGGUAGUGGCUUACCAAGGCUUUGACGGGUAGCCGGCCUGAGAGGGUGAUCGGCCACCAUGGGACUGAGAUACGGCCCAAACUCCUACGGGAGGCAGCAGUGGGGAAUAUUGCACGAUGGGCGGAAGCCUGAUGCAGCAACGCCGCGUGCGGGAUGACGGCCUUCGGGUUGUAAACCGCUUUCGCCUGUGACGAAGCGUGAGUGACGGUAAUGGGUAAAGAAGCACCGGCUAACUACGUG